RNAcentral lists this long non-coding RNA (334 nucleotides) under Sorghum bicolor (sorghum). RNAcentral describes it as "long non-coding RNA (SBIC_LNC018793)". Lineage: Eukaryota; Viridiplantae; Streptophyta; Magnoliopsida; Poales; Poaceae. The record is from RNAcentral.
CUUCGCUGGGGGAUCUGGCAUCUUCCCCCUCGUCUCCUGCCCCCCUUCCUCGUGGGAGAGCUCACCCUCUUCGCGGCUUGAGGGGGGUGGCGACUUGGGCCUCGCUGACCUAGGGGUUGACUGAGCCCCCCUCUUCAUGGCCUUCAGGGGAGCAAGUCCCACUGAAGCCACCUUGUGCUUCCGGCUGAAAGGGUAACGAAGCGAAUUAAAAGAAAGAGAAAAACAAAAAAUCAAAAGAAAGAUCAAAAAGCUAGUACAUACCUUGCUCGGGGGGGCAGCACUCUUCUAGGAGCUUGGAGCUCCCUAAGCGCCUCCCGGAGCACCGAGGGCCGUC